RNAcentral lists this ribosomal RNA (254 nucleotides) under uncultured prokaryote. RNAcentral's name for it is "partial 16S ribosomal RNA". It matches the Rfam family "Bacterial small subunit ribosomal RNA", at positions 524 to 776 of the family's 1533-position model. The record is from RNAcentral.
UACAGAGGGGGCUAGCGUUAUUCGGAAUUAUUGGGCGUAAAGGGCGCGUAGGCGGCCAUGCGUGUCUUCCGUGAAAUCCCUCGGCUUAACUGAGGACGUGCGGAAGAAACUGCAAGGCUCGAGUCCGGGAGAGGGGGGUGGAAUUCCCAGUGUAGCGGUGAAAUGCGUAGAUAUCAAGAGGAACACCUGAGGUGAAGACGGGUUGCUGGGCCGACACUGACGCUGACAGCGCGAAAGCCAGGGGAGCAAACGGG